UUGGGGCACCUGGGUGGCUCAGUCUUUUAAGCGUAUGACUCCUGGUUUGGGUUAAGGUCAGGAUCUCACGGUUUCGUGAGUUUGAGCCCCACAUCAGGCUCUGCACUGGCAGCACAGAGCCUGCUUGGAUUCUCUCUCUCCCUCUCUCUCUACCC
Herpailurus yagouaroundi (jaguarundi) is the source of this 155-nucleotide long non-coding RNA. RefSeq lists it as uncharacterized. NCBI's taxonomy places the organism in Eukaryota, Metazoa, Chordata, Mammalia, Carnivora, Felidae. The record is from RefSeq and is a predicted model, not a curated record. The transcript is spliced from 3 exons.